GACGAACGCUGGCGGCGUGCUUAACACAUGCAAGUCGAACGGAAAGGCCCUGCUUUUGUGGGGUGCUCGAGUGGCGAACGGGUGAGUAACACGUGAGUAACCUGCCCUUGACUUUGGGAUAACUACAGGAAACUGGGGCUAAUACCGUAUAGGAGCUCCUGCUGCAUGGUGGGGGUUGGAAAGUUUCGGCGGUUGGGGAUGGACUCGCGGCUUAUCAGCUUGUUGGUGGGGUAGUGGCUUACCAAGGCUUUGACGGGUAGCCGGCCGGAGAGGGUGACCGGCCACCUUGGGACUGAGAUACGGCCCAGACUCCUACGGGAGGCAGCAGUGGGGAAUAUUGCACAAUGGGCGGAAGCCUGAUGCAGCAACGCCGCGUGCGGGAUGACGGCCUUCGGGUUGUAAACCGCUUUCGCCUGUGACGAAGCGUGAGUGACGGUAAUGGGUAAAGAAGCACCGGCUAACUACGUG
This 468-nucleotide ribosomal RNA is filed under the name uncultured bacterium. RNAcentral's name for it is "partial 16S ribosomal RNA". It matches the Rfam family "Bacterial small subunit ribosomal RNA", at positions 28 to 507 of the family's 1533-position model. The record is from RNAcentral.